CCAAACCUGCCAUUGACCUCACAAAUUUACAGCCAUGUUACUCUCCGGCCGCCACCCCUACCACCACAAAUUCACCCCCUCCUCACCGCCGGCCGCCUUCCCCUCUCGCGAUCUCCGCCGCCUCCGGCCGGUCCGGCCCCCAACCAUAGCAUCUGCCAACACCCCGCCUCCACCGCCACCGCCACUACCAUUCCCAUUUCCGUCGCCAAGGCGUCAAUGGCGGUGGCGGCGCCUCACCGGUGGCGUCGGCGACGGCGCCCUGGAACCGGCCCCCGUCGAGGCCGACGGAAAAGCUGCCGGCGGGGGGAAGAAGAGCUUCUGGGCGGCGGUGAGCCUCAUCGUCGGCACGGCGGUCGGGCCGGGCAUGCUGGGCCUGCCGUCCGCCACCAUCCGCUCCGGCCAGGCGCCCUCUGCGGCCGCCAUACUUCUCUCCUGGGCCUACGUCGUGUCCUCCAUCAUCCUAGUCGCCGAGCUCAGCUUCUCCGCCAUGGAGCGCGACGGCGUUGACGAGGUCAGCUUCACCGGACUUGCGUCGAGCACCCUGGGCGCGGAUCUCGGGGCCGUCGUCGCCGUCGUCUACGCCGCGCUCAGCUUCUCCCUGAUCGUCGCCUGCGUCGCUGGCAUCGGCUCGCUGGUCUCACAGCUGUUCCCCAGGGUCAAUCCAGUCCUGGCCAACGCCCUGUUCCCGUGCUUCGCCGGCGUCCUCAUCGCGUUCUUCCCCUUUAAGGCUGUCGACGGCGCCAACCGUGCCCUCUGUGGCCUGAUGCUUGUCUCCAUCACCGCGCUCGUGGUGACCGGCGUGUCCGUCGGCCGGAGCAGCUUGCUGAGAUCUCUUGGCUACGCUUGCUGGAGCCCAGGUGCGAUCCUGCCGGCCAUACCGGUGACCGUGCUCACGCUCGGGUUUCAUGUCAUCACGCCGUUCAUCUGCAAGAUUGUUGGGGAUUCGGUGUAUGAUGCUCGGAGAGCGAUACUGAUUGGGGGUGCCGUGCCAUUGUUCAUGGUGCUGUCGUGGAAUGCGGUCAUUCUUGGUCUGGCAACUGCUGGUGGCAAUGCUAGGAUAGGUGAUCCUAUUAAGCUGCUUCUCUCAGUAAAUCCAGCUGCAUUGCCUGCUGUUCGAGGCUUCGCUUUUGCUGCACUAGCGACGAGCCUGAUAGGAUAUGCAGUGAGCUUCCCAAAGCAAUUGGCAGACACAGUGGAGUUGAUUGUUCAGAGGUUUUCUCCGAAGCAAGGAAGCGUUCAGCAAUCCAAUGCUAGUAUUGGCUAUGGCAGAAAUGGGGUGAUUCUGACAUGGACAGUGCUGAUCGUUCCUAUCUUUAUUGUGUCAUUCUUCUCAGCGGCCUUCUCCAGGGCACUGGAUUUUGCUGGGGUUUACGCAAACUGCUUCUUGUUUGGGAUCCUGCCUCCAGUCAUGGCCUGGAUUCAUCGAUCACAGGAGAGAAAGAGAUCACCUGAUUCCUGUCAAGAUAUUUUGCCUGGUGGAAAUGCUGCUCUCUUGAUACUUUUCAGCAUUGCUGUGGUCCUAGCAAUAUGGCACUAGAAGAAUGUCACAUACAUGUGCCAGCGAUGCUUGAUAUCACCCCUUCUCCAUCUGGCAAGCCCUGUUCAGUGCACUUUUGUGGUUUUUGACAUUAAGAUACUCGGGCGAUGCUCAAAUCCUCACUAGUCUAAAAGACGAAGAUUUUGCAUUGUGCACUCAUGUAAAAUGCUACUUUGUACUGAAUGUGAAAUCGUUGGUUUAUCAGAAACUUGAUGUACUGAUUAUGUCAAGUUGCUAGGAAUCUGGCAAGAAUAGGCGCCUGCCCGGCUGCAGGGUCCAGCCUUCCAUAUUGUUUACUGCCAUCAGGGGAAGGGAAGGAGCAGUGGGCGUAGUUGCCCUCGUUGACUUGAGCUCUCAUAGUCAUACCUUAAUGGCGAACAAGAUCACCGUUAAAAACUACUAUGUGAGCUCAUUAUUCAUGUUGUGGAUGAACGAUCAUUGGUGGAAAUUCAAAUUGCUGGACAGGCAUUUGUCGUGUAAACCAAUCAUGCUAGAAAUAUCUCUGAAUGAUUAUGGGCAAGUUUCUUAAACUAUGGAUCUAUUUUUUUCUGUCUUGAGAAAACCUAAGGCUUCAUGUGGCAAGACCUGACAGGUUGCCUCCAUGUUGGUUUUGCCAGAAUUUUGGGUGGUAGAACCAACUGAUCAUACAUGUCCACAGCUCUUGAAAUUAAAAGGAUUUUGUGGAAACUAGGAGCAAUAUGUUUACCUGCCUUUUGAGCCUUUUGUAUAUGGAGGAGAGAGAGACGAAACUGACUUUUACUGGUUGCAGUUUUGUGAGACUGAACCAAUUACCGAAGAUGCACACUACAAAGCUGCAGCCUGCGUUACUGACUACUUCCUACCUAUGGGAUAGAUCAUGGAUGCAAUGCAAUGUACCUAUGGGAGUAGCCAUCAGUUUGUAUCACCUUCUGGGCUCCGAGACCCUCUGCGCCCGCUCGCAGCAGCAGGCACCAUUCCAAGGAAAAGAAAGCACAGUGGCUGCCAUCCACUAAAAUCUGUAGCUGUAGUUCCAUCACAAUCCAGAACGGCUUCAAGCAACAUGGAAACAAAUGCAUAUUUUUGGCAGAAUUAACCAACCCUUUCUGCUCUCAGGACGGCUCCGAUCCCGACACCAUGAACGGCGGCUGCAGGUAUCUAGUCCGCUGGCCUGGCCAC
Molecule: RNA transcript, 2692 nt
Organism: Panicum hallii
Lineage: Eukaryota; Viridiplantae; Streptophyta; Magnoliopsida; Poales; Poaceae
Gene name: tyrosine-specific transport protein 2
Exons: 5
Source: RefSeq, a predicted model, not a curated record